AUGGCUUUCAUCGUGUCCAAGCUCGCGCGGGCAGCCUUCGCAUCCCGCUCAGUCAGAGGAGCGCGUCUCCCCCAGACUGCCGGCGCCAUCCGUCGCAUGUCCGCAGCUGCAGGCGGUUGCGAGUCAGAAGAAGAUCACAAAAACUUUCCCCCUGUUGAUACGAAUUUCAAUUUCAUCGAGUGGAUGGAAUCAUGCCGCUACGAGUCAGGAAAUGAUCCAAACUUUCCCCUCGUCGACGAGAAUUCCACCAAGUCCAAGGAGUCCCUGUGGGCCUUGUAUGAGAGCUGGUGCAAGUAUUAUGAAGUGUCCCGUGACCGUGAAGAGAUGGUCCGCCGGUUCAGGUCAUUUAAGGCCAGCGCGAUGCGGGUGUACAAAAUGAACAAUUCUGGUUCUUCGCAGGUGUCUCAGCUGUCCGCGUUUGCAGAUCUGACCAAGGCGGAGGCUGACUACGAGUAUAGCAGGUUACGAUGCCGUAAGCCAAAGUUCUCGCAAUACCGUGCUACUAGAUGA
This 510-nucleotide ribosomal RNA is filed under the name Triticum aestivum (bread wheat). Its description in RNAcentral is "partial small subunit ribosomal RNA". Lineage: Eukaryota; Viridiplantae; Streptophyta; Magnoliopsida; Poales; Poaceae. The record is from RNAcentral.